AGAGUUUGAUCCUGGCUCAGGAUGAACGCUGGCGGCGUGCCUAAUACAUGCAAGUCGAGCGAACGGACGAGAAGCUUGCUUCUCUGAUGUUAGCGGCGGACGGGUGAGUAACACGUGGAUAACCUACCUAUAAGACUGGGAUAACUUCGGGAAACCGGAGCUAAUACCGGAUAAUAUUUUGAACCGCAUGGUUCAAAAGUGAAAGACGGUCUUGCUGUCACUUAUAGAUGGAUCCGCGCUGCAUUAGCUAGUUGGUAAGGUAACGGCUUACCAAGGCAACGAUGCAUAGCCGACCUGAGAGGGUGAUCGGCCACACUGGAACUGAGACACGGUCCAGACUCCUACGGGAGGCAGCAGUAGGGAAUCUUCCGCAAUGGGCGAAAGCCUGACGGAGCAACGCCGCGUGAGUGAUGAAGGUCUUCGGAUCGUAAAACUCUGUUAUUAGGGAAGAACAUAUGUGUAAGUAACUGUGCACAUCUUGACGGUACCUAAUCAGAAAGCCACGGCUAACUACGUGCCAGCAGCCGCGGUAAUACGUAGGUGGCAAGCGUUAUCCGGAAUUAUUGGGCGUAAAGCGCGCGUAGGCGGUUUUUUAAGUCUGAUGUGAAAGCCCACGGCUCAACCGUGGAGGGUCAUUGGAAACUGGAAAACUUGAGUGCAGAAGAGGAAAGUGGAAUUCCAUGUGUAGCGGUGAAAUGCGCAGAGAUAUGGAGGAACACCAGUGGCGAAGGCGACUUUCUGGUCUGUAACUGACGCUGAUGUGCGAAAGCGUGGGGAUCAAACAGGAUUAGAUACCCUGGUAGUCCACGCCGUAAACGAUGAGUGCUAAGUGUUAGGGGGUUUCCGCCCCUUAGUGCUGCAGCUAACGCAUUAAGCACUCCGCCUGGGGAGUACGACCGCAAGGUUGAAACUCAAAGGAAUUGACGGGGACCCGCACAAGCGGUGGAGCAUGUGGUUUAAUUCGAAGCAACGCGAAGAACCUUACCAAAUCUUGACAUCCUUUGACAACUCUAGAGAUAGAGCCUUCCCCUUCGGGGGACAAAGUGACAGGUGGUGCAUGGUUGUCGUCAGCUCGUGUCGUGAGAUGUUGGGUU
Molecule: ribosomal RNA, 1094 nt
Filed under: Staphylococcus aureus W25799
Lineage: Bacteria; Bacillati; Bacillota; Bacilli; Caryophanales; Staphylococcaceae
Description: bacterial SSU rRNA
Rfam family: Bacterial small subunit ribosomal RNA
Source: RNAcentral